RNAcentral lists this ribosomal RNA (653 nucleotides) under uncultured soil bacterium. RNAcentral describes it as "bacterial SSU rRNA". It matches the Rfam family "Bacterial small subunit ribosomal RNA", at positions 55 to 705 of the family's 1533-position model. The record is from RNAcentral.
AUGCAAGUCGAACGGUAACAGGUCUUCGGAUGCUGACGAGUGGCGAACGGGUGAGUAAUACAUCGGAACGUGCCCGAGAGUGGGGGAUAACGAAGCGAAAGCUUUGCUAAUACCGCAUACGAUCUCAGGAUGAAAGCAGGGGACCGCAAGGCCUUGCGCUCACGGAGCGGCCGAUGGCAGAUUAGGUAGUUGGUGGGAUAAAAGCUUACCAAGCCGACGAUCUGUAGCUGGUCUGAGAGGACGACCAGCCACACUGGGACUGAGACACGGCCCAGACUCCUACGGGAGGCAGCAGUGGGGAAUUUUGGACAAUGGGCGCAAGCCUGAUCCAGCCAUGCCGCGUGCAGGAUGAAGGCCUUCGGGUUGUAAACUGCUUUUGUACGGAACGAAAAGACUCCUUCUAAUAAAGGGGGUCCAUGACGGUACCGUAAGAAUAAGCACCGGCUAACUACGUGCCAGCAGCCGCGGUAAUACGUAGGGUGCGAGCGUUAAUCGGAAUUACUGGGCGUAAAGCGUGCGCAGGCGGUGAUGUAAGACAGAUGUGAAAUCCCCGGGCUCAACCUGGGAACUGCAUUUGUGACUGCAUCGCUGGAGUGCGGCAGAGGGGGAUGGAAUUCCGCGUGUAGCAGUGAAAUGCGUAGAUAUGCGGAGGA